GAUGAACGCUGGCGGCGUGCUUAACACAUGCAAGUCGAACGAUGAAGCCCAGCUUGCUGGGUGGAUUAGUGGCGAACGGGUGAGUAACACGUGAGUAACCUGCCCUUGACUCUAGGAUAAGCCCGGGAAACUGGGUCUAAUACUGGAUAGGAACGUCUACCGCAUGGCGGGUGUUGGAAAGAAUUUCGGUCAUGGAUGGACUCGCGGCCUAUCAGCUUGUUGGUGAGGUAAUGGCUCACCAAGGCGACGACGGGUAGCCGGCCUGAGAGGGUGACCGGCCACACUGGGACUGAGACACGGCCCAGACUCCUACGGGAGGCAGCAGUGGGGAAUAUUGCACAAUGGGCGAAAGCCUGAUGCAGCGACGCCGCGUGAGGGAUGACGGCCUUCGGGUUGUAAACCUCUUUCAGUAGGGAAGAAGCGAAAGUGACGGUACCUGCAGAAGAAGCACCGGCUAACUACGUG
RNAcentral lists this ribosomal RNA (465 nucleotides) under uncultured bacterium. RNAcentral describes it as "partial 16S ribosomal RNA". It matches the Rfam family "Bacterial small subunit ribosomal RNA", at positions 28 to 507 of the family's 1533-position model. The record is from RNAcentral.